RNAcentral lists this ribosomal RNA (379 nucleotides) under uncultured eukaryote. RNAcentral's name for it is "partial 18S ribosomal RNA". It matches the Rfam family "Eukaryotic small subunit ribosomal RNA", at positions 592 to 975 of the family's 1831-position model. The record is from RNAcentral.
CAAUAGCGUAUAUUAAAGUUGUUGCGGUUAAAAAGCUCGUAGUUGGAUUUCUGCCGAGGACGACCGGUCCGCCCUCUGGGUGAGUAUCUGGCUCGGCCUGGGCACCUUCUUGGAGAACGUAGCUGCACUUGACUGUGUGGUGCGGUAUCCAGGACUUUUACUUUGAGGAAAUUAGAGUGUUUCAAGCAGGCUUACGCCUUGAAUACAUUAGCAUGGAAUAAUAAGAUAGGACCUCGGUUCUAUUUUGUUGGUUUCUAGAGCUGAGGUAAUGAUUAAUAGGGAUAGUUGGGGGCAUUCGUAUUUAACUGUCAGAGGUGAAAUUCUUGGAUUUGUUAAAGACGAACUACUGCGAAAGCAUUUGCCAAGGAUGUUUNCAUUG